Molecule: ribosomal RNA, 253 nt
Filed under: uncultured bacterium
Lineage: Bacteria
Description: partial 16S ribosomal RNA
Rfam family: Bacterial small subunit ribosomal RNA
Source: RNAcentral
UACGUAGGCAGCGAGCGUUGUUCGGAAUUACUGGGCGUAAAGAGUGUGUAGGCGGUGCUCUAAGUUCGGUGUGAAAUCUCCUGGCUCAACUGGGAGGGUGCGCCGGAAACUGGAGUGCUUGAGCGUGGGAGAGGAAAGCGGAAUUCCUGGUGUAGCGGUGAAAUGCGUAGAUAUCAGGAGGAACACCGGUGGCGAAGGCGGUUCUCUGGGCCUGUACUGACGCUGAGGAGCGAAAGCGUGGGGAGCGAACAGG